GGUUGUCACUAGGGGAGCCAUUUGGGCUGAGACUGAAUCCAUAGAUUCUAAACCCUCUGAACCUGAUCUGGAUGAAACCAGCGUAGGGAAGUGGAGAGCACUCGAA
Molecule: non-coding RNA, 106 nt
Filed under: Paenibacillus sp.
Lineage: Bacteria; Bacillati; Bacillota; Bacilli; Caryophanales; Paenibacillaceae
Also listed under: 1 other name
Description: TPP sequence
Rfam family: TPP riboswitch aptamer (THI element)
About the family: Vitamin B(1) in its active form thiamin pyrophosphate (TPP) is an essential coenzyme that is synthesised by coupling of pyrimidine and thiazole moieties in bacteria. The previously detected thiamin-regulatory element, thi box was extended, resulting in a new, highly conserved RNA secondary structure, the THI element, which is widely distributed in eubacteria and also occurs in some archaea.
Source: RNAcentral